CCUUGUCGGCACUGGCUCAUGACGCCAUUCACAAAUCCAAGAACCGACGCUCAGAAAAAAUAUAAUGAUGCUCAUCGGAGCACUCGGUCAGCCAUUGAGCGCACCUAUGGUUUAUUAAAAACUAGAUUUAGGUGUCUAGAUAGAUCCGGUGGAGUGCUGCAAUAUGACCCGUGCAAGGUAUCAGAUAUCAUUUUGGUGUGCUGCAUUUUGCACAACAUAGCGCUGCAAGAUGGAGAUGUGGAUGUCACUGUCCUCAGUAAUAAUGAAAACAAUGAAGAUCUUGAUGCUUCAAGAGAUUCCACCGCUGGUGGAGUCGAAGUUCGGAAUAGCCUUGUUGCUAGAUAUUUCUCAUGAAUCAAAUGCGGUUUAAAGAAAAUAGAGAAGAAUGAAUCCAGUUCAAGCCCUAUCGAUUUAAUUUUUUUGUUAAUCGUUCAUUAAAAAAAAUUGUUAAAUACA
This is a long non-coding RNA of Bombina bombina (fire-bellied toad), 456 nucleotides long. RefSeq lists it as uncharacterized. The record is from RefSeq and is a predicted model, not a curated record. The transcript has 2 exons. NCBI's taxonomy places the organism in Eukaryota, Metazoa, Chordata, Amphibia, Anura, Bombinatoridae.